RNAcentral lists this small nuclear RNA (101 nucleotides) under Salvator merianae (Argentine black and white tegu). The record is from RNAcentral. Lineage: Eukaryota; Metazoa; Chordata; Lepidosauria; Squamata; Teiidae.
GUUUGCUUCAGCCACACAUAUACUAAAAUUGGAACGAGAGAAGAUUAGCAUGGCUCCUGUGCAAAUAUGACAUGCAAAUUCGUGAAGUGUUCCAUUUUUUU